GAUGAAGAACGCAGCGAAAUGCGAUAAGUAAUGUGAAUUGCAGAAUUCAGUGAAUCAUCGAAUCUUUGAACGCACAUUGCGCCCGCCAGUAUUCUGGCGGGCAUGCCUGUCUGAGCGUCAUUUCAACCCUCAUGCCCCUAGGGCGUGGUGUUGGGGAUCGGCCAAAGCCCGCGAGGGACGGCCGGCCCCUAAAUCUAGUGGCGGACCCGUCGUGGCCUCCUCUGCGAAGUAGUGAUAUUCCGCAUCGGAGAGCGAUGAGCCCCUGCCGUUAAACCCCCAACUUUACAAGGUUGACCUCAGAUCAGGUAGGAAUACCCGCUGAACUUAAGCAUAUCAAUAAGCGGAGGA
This 348-nucleotide unclassified non-coding RNA is filed under the name soil metagenome. RNAcentral describes it as "partial contains 5.8S ribosomal RNA, internal transcribed spacer 2, and large subunit ribosomal RNA". The stretch from base 1 to 120 matches the Rfam family "5.8S ribosomal RNA", at positions 35 to 154 of the family's 154-position model. The record is from RNAcentral.